Molecule: non-coding RNA, 502 nt
Organism: Cinara cedri
Lineage: Eukaryota; Metazoa; Arthropoda; Insecta; Hemiptera; Aphididae
Source: the annotation of a GenBank genome assembly
CUGGAUGGGCAGGGGUCCACGGCGCACUGCAUCAACGUGCAGACGGGAUUUUAUCCGUUUCAUUUGGUGCAUUAUCGGUGCAGCACGCGAAAACACCGCGCCCUCUCCGGGGCGACGGACAGGUGAACGUUUUCGAGGCGCGUCGUAAUUAUUAUAUUGUUUCGAACGCGCGGUGCACGAUGCGGGCGUCCCGUAUUCCCGCGGAGCCUGUUUAGAAAAAAAAAAUGAAGUUAAAAAAUGAAAAAUUACCGAGCCACCGUUUGUGUAAAUAAUAUAGCGCGUCACGAUUGUUCCGAUGCGCGUCGUCGCAGAGAGGAGAAAGAGCCCCUCGCCGCCCCCCAUCACCCCAUACCCUCCGGACGCGGAAUACGUGCGGACGGCGGCGAUUCGGGGUUUCGACCACCCCUCCGUCGUUGUCGUCGUCACCGUCGCUUCCCACCCCCGCCGCGGGUAUUUCGACUGUGAAAUUAGUCGUCGAUGGCGGACGGACGAGAGGUGGCGC